GCUUAGAAGAGUGUAUCCAGGAAGUUUGCUAAACUGGGAAGUACCGGUCUCAGAAAGCCACAAAUGACAAAACAGAUAUCCAUAGAGUACAGAAAAGAGAGGAGUCCUGGGAAAUGCUCACAACAAGCAGAAGGUUCCUGUGAUUCAGAUGGACUAUCCUAUCCUUGAAUAGGUUAGGAUCACACGCUGGUUAAUGACAUCAAGACUGUCUUGUGGGUGCAUUUGGCUAUUCCUGCAGGCAAGGUCAGCUAUUUCUGUCUAAUUUACACAUAAGAUAGUAGGCUUGAGGAUUUGUUUGUUCA
Cuculus canorus (common cuckoo) is the source of this 302-nucleotide long non-coding RNA. RefSeq lists it as uncharacterized. Lineage: Eukaryota; Metazoa; Chordata; Aves; Cuculiformes; Cuculidae. The record is from RefSeq and is a predicted model, not a curated record. The transcript has 3 exons.